CACUAUGCCUGGCCCUAAACAUUGAUAGCUUUCUACACCAGCUAUCCGCCUGGGAACUACGAGUAGAACUUGAAACCCAAAGGACUUGGCGGUGCUUUAGACCCAUCUAGAGGAGCCUGUCCUAGAACCGAUACUCCCCGUUCAACCUUACCUUUUCUUGCAAAUACAGCCUAUAUACCGCCGUCGUCAGCUUACCCUGUGAAGGUCCCGUAGUAAGCAAAGUUAGUUUUACCCCCACACGUCAGGUCGAGGUGUAGCUUAUGUAAAGGAAAGAGAUGGGCUACAUUUACUAUCUUUAGUAAAUUACGAAUGAUGCCUUGAAACCCGCAUCUGAAGGUGGAUUUAGUAGUAAGCAAAAAGCAGCGUGUUUUGCUGAAACUUGGCUCUGAAGCGCGCACACACCGCCCGUCACUCUCCCCGAAACAAAUUCGUUACUUUAAAUUAUAAAGCGCAGAACACUAAGGGGAGGCAAGUCGUAA
This 479-nucleotide ribosomal RNA is filed under the name Pseudanthias rubrizonatus (red-belted anthias). RNAcentral's name for it is "partial small subunit ribosomal RNA". It matches the Rfam family "Bacterial small subunit ribosomal RNA", at positions 788 to 1491 of the family's 1533-position model. Lineage: Eukaryota; Metazoa; Chordata; Actinopteri; Perciformes; Anthiadidae. The record is from RNAcentral.